CCUACGGGGUGCAGCAGUGAGGAAUAUUGGUCAAUGGACGAGAGUCUGAACCAGCCAAGUAGCGUGAAGGAUGACUGCCCUAUGGGUUGUAAACUUCUUUUAUAUGGGAAUAAAAUGUUCCACGUGUGGGAUUUUGUAUGUACCAUAUGAAUAAGGAUCGGCUAACUCCGUGCCAGCAGCCGCGGUAAUACGGAGGAUCCGAGCGUUAUCCGGAUUUAUUGGGUUUAAAGGGAGCGUAGGUGGAUUGUUAAGUCAGUUGUGAAAGUUUGCGGCUCAACCGUAAAAUUGCAGUUGAAACUGGCAGUCGUGAGUACAGUAGAGGUGUGCGGAAUUCGUGGUGUAGCGGUGAAAUGCUUAGAUAUCACGAAGAACUCCGAUUGCGAAGGCAGCUCACUGGACUGCAACUGACACUGAGGCUCGAAAGUGUGGGUAUCAAACAGGAUUAGAUACCCUAGUAGUC
Molecule: ribosomal RNA, 460 nt
Filed under: uncultured bacterium
Lineage: Bacteria
Description: partial 16S ribosomal RNA
Rfam family: Bacterial small subunit ribosomal RNA
Source: RNAcentral